RNAcentral lists this ribosomal RNA (467 nucleotides) under uncultured bacterium. RNAcentral describes it as "partial 16S ribosomal RNA". It matches the Rfam family "Bacterial small subunit ribosomal RNA", at positions 28 to 507 of the family's 1533-position model. The record is from RNAcentral.
GAUGAACGCUGGCGGCGUGCUUAACACAUGCAAGUCGAACGGAAAGGCCUCAGCUUGCUGGGGUGCUCGAGUGGCGAACGGGUGAGUAACACGUAGGUGAUCUGCCUUUCACUUCGGGAUAAGCUUGGGAAACUGGGUCUAAUACCGGAUAUUCACUGCACCGUGGUUGGUGUGGUGGAAAGCUUUUGCGGUGGGAGAUGAGCUUGCGGCCUAUCAGCUUGUUGGUGGGGUAAUGGCCUACCAAGGCGGCGACGGGUAGCCGGCCUGAGAGGGUGUGCGGCCACAUUGGGACUGAGAUACGGCCCAGACUCCUACGGGAGGCAGCAGUGGGGAAUUUUGCACAAUGGGCGGAAGCCUGAUGCAGCGACGCCGUGUGGGGGAUGAAGGCCUUCGGGUUGUAAACUCCUUUCGUCAGGGACGAAGUUUGUUUGACGGUACCUGGAUAAGAAGCACCGGCUAACUACGUG